CAUGUCAUGUGAGAGAGAGAGGAGGCCAUAUAGAACAUAGUGAUUUGUAGUAUUGGGUGUUAGGUAUAGGGCCAAACCCCAUAAAAACUUGCAAAAGUAGUUUUGGUUGUGUUUACUGAUGAUAGAUAAGGAAUAGGAGAUGCGGUGUGGUGGGGAAGGGAGUUUUUAUUUAGUUUCAAAGCAUGAAAUGAUGGUGCCGAUGACCAUGCUUAUCAUUGUCAUACACCUCAAUCUCUUUCCAGCUCUACUUCCAUCCAUGUGACUCUCCCUCUCUCUCUCUCUUCCCCCACAUCUCUCACUAUUCACUUGCUACUACUACUAUCUACUAAGCUGCCUAUGCCUGCCUGCUAGGUUAAUAAUGUUCAAAUGACUCCAAAUAAUCUGUCAUUCUGCACUGCACUCCAUACAAACCUUUCUAUCCAUUAUUUUUCAAAGGUUCCCUACUUGCGGGAGGCCCAUUUUCAAGUUUUAACAGAUCAGCCCAUGUGGAAUCCCCCCCCCC
Molecule: long non-coding RNA, 502 nt
Filed under: Gossypium barbadense (sea-island cotton)
Lineage: Eukaryota; Viridiplantae; Streptophyta; Magnoliopsida; Malvales; Malvaceae
Description: long non-coding RNA (GBAR_LNC016136)
Source: RNAcentral